Molecule: long non-coding RNA, 101 nt
Organism: Thalassophryne amazonica
Lineage: Eukaryota; Metazoa; Chordata; Actinopteri; Batrachoidiformes; Batrachoididae
Exons: 3
Source: RefSeq, a predicted model, not a curated record
CCUCCAUCAUUUUUCAUUGACAACUGUUCUUGAUUUUUAAGGUAUCCUGCUUACAAUAAAGCAACAACAAAAUAACAUUCUUAACAGAGGUGACAUAUAAA